This is a long non-coding RNA of Phocoena sinus (vaquita), 2312 nucleotides long. Ensembl lists it as uncharacterized. The record is from Ensembl. NCBI's taxonomy places the organism in Eukaryota, Metazoa, Chordata, Mammalia, Artiodactyla, Phocoenidae.
UGCCCGUCAAUCACAUUUAUGUCAAAGGGCCAGAUUGCCGUGCUCCGCGGAGGAGGGCUCCCAGGAUCUCCAGCCUAACUCCUCAACGGGAAACCUCAGGCUCUCCCAAACCUUCUGUCUGAGCUGGGACUCCCAUAGCAAAGUACCUAGACUAGUGGCUCACAAAUAAUAGAAAUUUAUGUCUCACAUUUCUGGAGCCUGAAGGUCUGAGAUCAGGGUGCCAGCGUGGAUGGGUGCUGGUGAGACCCGCUUCCUGGUUGCAGAGGGCCGACUUCUCAGGGCUCCUCACUGGUGGAAGGAGCUGCGAAGCUCUGUGGGGUCCCUUUUAUAAGAGCACUGACCCUACCAUGAGGGGUCCACCCUCAUGACCUAACCACCUCCUAAUACCGUCACUUUAGAAUUUCAGUGGGGGAGAGGGACACAAGUAUUCAGUCCACUGCACCCUCUGCCCGGUCUCUGCGGGCACAGGUGGUGGCCGCUCCACCCGUCCAACUGCUCAGGCCAAAAGCCUUGGCUUACGCCUGCACCUUCUGCCACUCACACCGGAUCCAUUUGGCCCCACCUUCCAGAAUGUGCAGAAUCUCACCCCCACUGUGACCCCUGAGACCAAGCCACUCUCACCUUCUCCUGGGUUAGCGGGGCCCCCUCCUCGGCGUUCUCACUACUCCAGCCAGAGUGAUCCUGUUACAACAGAAAACAAGUUGUGCCCCCUGCGCCCCCCAAGGGCCCUCACCUCACUCCAGAUCCAGAGUCACUGCAGUGGCUCACAGGCCCUGCAGGGUUACUCCAGGCCACGCUCCUAGACUCUGAGAAGGACAUUGAAUAGGGAGGUUCUUUGUGUCCAAUCCUGAAGAAGGGAGGAAAAGGAACAGGAUGGGGUGGCAGUAGAAGCUGAGCUGCAGUAAGGCCCAGCAAAGGCCUGAGCUGAGCCCGCAGGAGCUCUGGAGCUUGGAGGACAUUUGAGAGGUGUCCAAAGCAGGGCGACAUUCUGUGCACCAUCAGCUACCAGCUCUGCUAGGCCCAAUGGGUCACGGUGUGAUGUGGCCCCUUCUCCGAGAGACCUAGGCCUUGGUCACCGUGAUUGUCUUGGGGCAAGAGUGCUGCGCUUGGCCAUUUACCAUAACACUGGGCAAGAGGGGGCCCAGUGUGGCACAUCCCUCCCUCUUGCGGACCAGAGUCAAGUGGCCCUGCCUGUGACCCAGGCAUGGGAAACAAAGGGGCAUCCAGAGAUCGUAGGUCAACGGCACCUUUUUGUGUCGCCUGAAGGAAGCUUUGGGAGACAGAACUUCUGAACCCACAAAGCCCAGAGCAGCAGGGCUGGAGAACGUGAAGGCACCAGUGGUCCAGGAAGUGAAGAGGCAGAGCUGCCCAGUCCUGCCCUGGGGUCCUGGGCCCAUGUACUCUACCCACAGCCACACAGCACCUCCUAACGGCCUUUGACCUGAGGGCUGACUGGAGCCAGGAGAGGUGCCCACCCUCUGCUUGGUGCAGGGGGGUGGUAAGGUGUGGGACGUGACUGGCAGACCUGAGCCUGUGUUCCCAUCCCUGAGGAUGACAUAUGACGUGGACUCCUGUGCAGGGUCGGUGCUCCGAGUUCCUGAGGGGUACACGCUGCCCCUCUGGGGACAAGGGUCCAAUGAAAGUAACUCGCUUGCAGCUCUGCCCCUCACCCCGGUGUUCAGGCCACUCCUGAGUGGGCUGGAGUCCAGGACCCAUCCUGUGGCCAGCCGUCUCCCUCACACUAAGCUGACCAAUGGAGAACCGGGCUGGGAAUUCUUCCUUACCCAUCAUCUGGUCCCAGAGGGAUCCCCCUGCAGCCCCAGGUGUGAGCAGAGAGACAGGCCUUGGGAAGCAGUGGUGGAUGACACAGGGUCAGGACAACCUGCUUGUUUGACCUGGAAUGUUGCACAUCCAGCCUUGAAUGCAUUGCUGCUGGACUAAACUGUCAACUGAAAGACAAACACACAAUGCAAGAACUGUGAGAUAAGUUUGCUUUCAGCCUGGAAACCUUGCAAAUACGCAGAGAUAAGACUGUAAAGUAAAAAUAACUGCUAAGGACUUGAGGAUUCGCAGGCGCCUCGUGACCCAGCCUGCGUGAGCAAGCAGAAGAACGAAGCAAUGCUACGCUUCCUUGAAGGCCAGGUGGCUCCGAGAAGUCUGCAAUCUGCCUUCACCCUCUAAUCUCAGAUCCUCCUGCUUCCCCUUUCCCCUUCGCACAAAAGAAGCCCGAAUUCUACCCCGAAUUAGGAUGGUUCUUUAGGAACCAUCUUCUUGGUGUGCUGGCCUCUGAUUAAAGUCACUGCUUCUUCCCC